Molecule: transfer RNA, 85 nt
Filed under: Felis catus (domestic cat)
Lineage: Eukaryota; Metazoa; Chordata; Mammalia; Carnivora; Felidae
Also listed under: 4 other names
Rfam family: tRNA
About the family: Transfer RNA (tRNA) molecules are approximately 80 nucleotides in length. Their secondary structure includes four short double-helical elements and three loops (D, anti-codon, and T loops). Further hydrogen bonds mediate the characteristic L-shaped molecular structure. tRNAs have two regions of fundamental functional importance: the anti-codon, which is responsible for specific mRNA codon recognition, and the 3' end, to which the tRNAs corresponding amino acid is attached (by aminoacyl-tRNA synthetases). tRNAs cope with the degeneracy of the genetic code in two manners: having more than one tRNA (with a specific anti-codon) for a particular amino acid; and 'wobble' base-pairing, i.e. permitting non-standard base-pairing at the 3rd anti-codon position.
Source: Rfam by way of RNAcentral
GCCUGGGUGGCUCAGUCAGUUGAGCGUCCAACUUCGGCUCGGGUCAUGACCUUGCAGUUUGUGGGUUCGAGCCCCACGUCAGGCU